This 76-nucleotide transfer RNA is filed under the name Marmota monax (woodchuck). It matches the Rfam family "tRNA". From Rfam's summary of the family: Transfer RNA (tRNA) molecules are approximately 80 nucleotides in length. Their secondary structure includes four short double-helical elements and three loops (D, anti-codon, and T loops). Further hydrogen bonds mediate the characteristic L-shaped molecular structure. tRNAs have two regions of fundamental functional importance: the anti-codon, which is responsible for specific mRNA codon recognition, and the 3' end, to which the tRNAs corresponding amino acid is attached (by aminoacyl-tRNA synthetases). tRNAs cope with the degeneracy of the genetic code in two manners: having more than one tRNA (with a specific anti-codon) for a particular amino acid; and 'wobble' base-pairing, i.e. permitting non-standard base-pairing at the 3rd anti-codon position. Lineage: Eukaryota; Metazoa; Chordata; Mammalia; Rodentia; Sciuridae. The record is from Rfam by way of RNAcentral.
GGGGUUGUAGUUCAGUGGUACAGCGUUUGCCUCACAUGCAUGCAUAAGGCACUGGGUUUGACCCUCAGCACCCCCA